Non-coding RNA from Ictidomys tridecemlineatus (thirteen-lined ground squirrel), 678 nucleotides. NCBI's taxonomy places the organism in Eukaryota, Metazoa, Chordata, Mammalia, Rodentia, Sciuridae. The record is from RefSeq and is a predicted model, not a curated record.
CUCUUAGCAACCUUAGUUCUAGGGCUAAGGUGUAACUAGGAGAGUUUCCUGCUCUGUGCUGCCCCUACCUCCUCACCUGACUCCUACUCUAAUCCAAAGCAAAUAAAUCCUGAGUCUGUGUUGUAUGUGGGACAAUAUGACAAGCAGCAGAGAAACAAAGAAUGGGACAGAGCCUGCCUCCCAGUGCUCACAGCCUAGAGAAGAGAGAGAAAGACGGACCGCACGCUGGAACCUGAGCUAAGUGUGCCGAGAAGAGUGCUUAUGCAUUGGGAGCAAGUGGGAAGAGGGAACAGAGAAGUGAUCGUGGGACCUGUCCGAGCCUUAAAUUAAGAAUCAGAGAGCUGGAAUCUCAUUUUAUUAGCACUCCAUUCUCCCUGAAGAAAAUCUCUUCACCUUCUGGAACCUCAUUUUUGUCACUUGUAAGAUGAGGUGAAUGUUACCUGCCCUCCUCUCACUGUCGUGGAAGAAGCAGAUGAGGUAGCAUCAAUGUAACACUUUGCAUCAGGAGCAAAGGACGAAAUAAACCCAAGGCAUUAUUUUCAUCACCAGUGAUGUCCUGAAUCAGUAAGGCUCCCGCACCAAAAGAAUACCCUGGCCGAUUUUUUUAAAAAAAAAAAACUAGAAGAAAAUGUCAUUUCCAAUGUAAAUAACAAGAUGUGGGAAAUUAUUUUCUAUUUC